Long non-coding RNA from Poeciliopsis prolifica (blackstripe livebearer), 4328 nucleotides. RefSeq lists it as uncharacterized. NCBI's taxonomy places the organism in Eukaryota, Metazoa, Chordata, Actinopteri, Cyprinodontiformes, Poeciliidae. The record is from RefSeq and is a predicted model, not a curated record. The transcript has 8 exons.
AGCAAUCCUUAAAACGAUUUUAUAAAGGUAUGAUAAGUCACCUAAAAUAUAUGAUUCCCCGUCAUAACUCUGGCAAAUAAGGAGCAAAUGCCACCAAAAUCACAGGAUUUAUUGUUGAUCAUGAGAGGAAUAAACAGAGAAAAAAACUUGCUGGUAAUUUGAGUUGUUCCCAUAUUAUGGAGGGGGAACAGAUUAUUUCAGGCUGCUGAAUUAUCCAUUCUUUCCUCUCCUUACCCCAUAACCUUGGGGAAUAAAGAACAACUGUUUCCAAAUUCUCAAAAAUCUUUACAUACACGCUACGUGUUGGGAAAACUGUGUUUGGUGCCUGACUUUUAUUUCUGUCAGGCUUACGUGAGAGAAGUUGGAAAAAGAGCGAUUCUCUUGGUGUUUAAAAUGACACAAAACAGCAAGACCUCGUUCAUUUAUUUAUUUUACAAUUUUUUAAACAACAGCUGGCAAUUAAACUGAAUGUUACAACCUUGACAUGAUUAUAUGAGUUUUACCGAGAAAUUGAUCAGAAGUGACGUGAAAAUGGUCACAUCCGCCUCUGGCUGUAAUGCGCGCUCCCGACAGCGGAACCGAAUUUUAUAGGGAAACCGAAUUUCGGACAACAGCUCUAUGCACCUUAAAGUUGCUUGCGAUCCGCCAUAAUAGAAAAGAAGAAAGAACAAAUCAAUCUGACUUAAAGUCAAGUUCUACGUCAUGAUGAUCGCUGCCUUGAUUAUCUCGGUUCCUUUCCUUACAUCUGGAUCUGCAUCAACAGAAACAGCAGCAACAUUUGUAGUGAAUGUGACACAGAGCAGCUAUCAGGCAGAGGAGAAGCAGAGCAUCACUCUGGAGUGGACCUUCACCACCAAGACUCAGGGAACCUGGAAGAAUCUGUUCAUCGUCUGCAGCUUGUUGACUCCUGAUAAACCGCGAGUUCUCUAUCAUAUUCAUGAAGGAGUUGAGAUUCCAGAGUCUCAGGAUGAUCAGUUUUCAGGACGAGUCCAGAGCGACAAAGACGUCCUCAGAAAGGACGAAUCAGACUCCAUGUAUCCAGACUGAGGACUGAAGACUCUGGUCUGUAUCUGUGUGACGUGAAAACUGAAGAUGGAUUCAACUCUGGAGGAUGUCAACUCAACGUUACUGUUCCAGUGAAGGUUGUUGGUCAUGAUCCGAUUCAUGCAAAGGUUGGAGACGACGUCAUUCUGCCAUGUCAUCUGGAGCCUCCAUUUGAUUUGACCACAUUUACAAUCGAAUGGAGAUUCAAGGAUGAAAUAAUCCAUGUGCAUCGCAGCCAAACUAAAGAUGAUGUAGCUUCAGAUCCAAAGUACCAUGACCGAACCUUCAUGUUCCCUGAUGAGUUUGAAAAAGGCAACAUUUCCCUCAAAUUGACCAAAGUAACCAAGGAGGAUGAAGGGAAUUAUACUUGCUUUGUUCCCAAACUGCAAAGACAAGUCAAGCAGGGAAACGUUACUCUAAUACUUGGACCUCCUAGAGUUUAUUGUUGGUGUUGUUGUUGCACUCAUCUUCUUCUUCACCGUCAUCAUCAUCGUCGUCAUCAUAAUCAAGCGAUCUCAAAUCCAACGUGUUCUACGUCACUACAGAGGUGAACAAAUUUUUCCAUGUUGGAGCAAAAACUCUCAACAUGAACCAGAGAGAAAUGAUGAAGAUCGCAGAGAAAAUGUCAACCCAGGAAAUGAAGAAGAAGGAAAACCUUUACAGGAUCAAGGAAAACAAAACCAAAGUGAAUCUUUCACCUGAUCUAAAGUCUAUUCAAAGUUUGUUGAAAAGGAGACCAGAACCAGAGAGACGAGGAAGGACCAUCAUCAUCAUCAUCAUCAUCACUAUAACCACACACACACAUACACAUACAUAAACUCAUCUACUGUACCACCUUUCAUCCCAUAUUCAUCGAUGCUUGUCAGUCUACAAUAAACCUUCGAAGCUGCAUCUGCGGAGUUGCCUAUUCCUUCUAACAGAGGAAGAUUCAAUUGAUGAGAGAUCUGAAUUAGUGCCUGUCUGACGCACACAGAGUUCUUACAGUGGGACUGAUAGUUAUUUAGUUUAGGAAGAAAAUGAGAAGAAGAAACCAAACAUUUUGACCAAGAACAUUUUUGUUUGAACUUUUUCUGUUUGACAUAUUUUAAUAAUGACUUUGAGUCGUUUAUUGCUUUGCUUCAGAUUCAUGUUCUCAAUACCUUUCUACAGACACAUCAUAAUGGGGUUUUAUGUCUUAUAAUAAGACUUACUUUAAGUUUUUAUAUGCAGCUGUUUCUUCUCCAGUGUUGGAAACUACUUUGCUAUCAAUCUUAAAGCAUUAAGUUGACGAUCUAGGCAAUCUUUAGGGGUUUUGAAAUACUGAUACAUUUCAGUAUUUGAAAUGUAUCAAAUACUGAAAUAUUUGAUACAGAAACAAUGAUCUGUUAUUCUGUUACUCAGAUGGAUUUAUUCUGUUUCACUUCAUGUGUUUAGAGAAACCAGUGGUGACAACAGUGUUAGGAGUUUGUUCUGAAAUUAGCAUGUUGCUGGUUCAAAUCUGCUUCUUUCUUAGUGCCUUUGAGCAAGGCACUUCACCUGCCUUACCUGCCAGUGGCAUCGACCCACAGCAGCUGCUGCCAAAUUGCUCCAGGGCAGCUGAGGCUGUUAUCCAGUAUUGGUCACCAUCAGUGUAUGAAUGGAUGAGUAUGAAUGGAUGAAUGACUGAAUGCAGAGUGAAGCAUUUUGGAUUCAACUGGACUUGAAACAGAGCCUUAAAAGUACAAGCCAUAUUUAAUGUUUUAUGGAAAUAGUAAAUUAGAGCUCUAAUUUAUUAUUUAAACAUUCUUGUUAUCAGUGUUGUAUAGAAACAAAGUAACUUUCAUAUGAAAAUUUUUGAUAACUUUCACUUUUACUUCACUACAUUUCAGAACUUAAUUGCUCCGCUUCAUUUUCAAUGUGUGGUUUAGUUACUCGUUACAAAAAAGUGAGAGAGAGAAACGCAAAUGUUUAGACCCAACCUACUGAUCGACUGCAACAAAGUCGGUAGCCGAUUUGCCUGAGUUUGUUCAUCUCCACCAAUAGAUGCACAUGUUUCACUUCUCCCAUUAAACACCAAGUUUACUAAAAGCUCUCCCUCUUCAGAUGCCAAAUAAGCUGCAUUUCCCUCCCAAUUCCUUUUUUCUUUUGUAUAAUGACCAGUUGAUGCACCUAUAGUUUGUGAAGUAGAGGAAUCGUAACGGGUUUUUUUUCUUCAUGUUGGCCGCAUUUUCUGUGCUAUUUAUUUUUCUCAUUUUCAGCACUGAUCUUACUGAAAGGAAAACUUAAGGCUUACAAAACCUUGUAUUUUCUGUCCUUCUUGUACUAAGAAGCAGGUUCAUAGUGAUGAGUCUGACUGAAACCUCCGCGCAUGCGUCGAGCAAACAAGGCGAAACCCCGUGUGGGUGCGCGUAUCUCUUUAAGGAAAACCACGUGACCGAUACAAUUCCUGUGUCGUUUGGUUGUGAAGGCGCCAAAUUGUAUUUAUGAACAGAAAAUGUAUCGACAUGUUGGUGGGUUUUGUUGGAUGGAGAUAGUUUGUGUUGUUUGGCUUGUCAAUGAAAACUAUGAUCAAUCGAGGAAGAGAAAGUUUUCUCCCGUUUGAUCAUUUUGAUCUUAUCACGGAGAAUAAGAUCAAUUAUUAUUCCGUUCUCGUUUCCACUAUUGAUCAUUCUUCUGUCGGGUUAUUCCAAUUUCUUUCUGAAGAAUACUUUAAUUAGUUUACAUGGAUUAACUUUUAUUUCUAUUGUGGAUUAAAUGUAUACAACAACGUGAUUGUACAACAUCACGUUGUUGUAUAAAAUUCCACUAAAUAUCGUCCUAAAAAAAUCAUUUUUUAAUACCAAAAAGGUUCAAAUUGUCCAUUCUUGAACCUCUUACUAUAUUACGCUUUACUGCAACUAUAUUUACUUUUUUAAACCGGUUUGAGGUCAAGAAGGAAAAUCCAUACAGCCAAUAUGGACCAGCAAAAGCAAGAGAAAAUUCCCUAAAGCUUUUGGGCAAAAUGAAAAUGCUUUAAAGUGAAUAAUCGCAUUAUAUUCAAGUUUCAUAAAAAGGACCAGAAACUAUUAAUGUGUCGCUUCUCCGAUGAAGGAAUAUUGUCUGAUUUGAUGAAUUUAUGUAUGAUCUAAUUGCACUUUUAAUUUUUAAAGAUAGAAAUACGUCAGAAGGAAGAAACUGCAGCAUUCAUCUCGGCUGAUUUGUAAACAGUUAAAAAAAUAAUAAAAAAUACAACUCAGUUUUUUCUUUUUGUUUUGUUUUCUUGGCGAUUGGCCCAAAGAUGUUAACGCAGCUGAUGUUUCUAAAUAAAAAUGUGUGAAUGAACCUUG